GACGAACGCUGGCGGCGUGCUUAACACAUGCAAGUCGAACGGAAAGGCCCUGCUUUUGUGGGGUGCUCGAGUGGCGAACGGGUGAGUAACACGUGAGUAACCUGCCCUUGACUUUGGGAUAACUUCAGGAAACUGGGGCUAAUACCGGAUAGGAGCUCCUGCUGCAUGGUGGGGGUUGGAAAGUUUCGGCGGUUGGGGAUGGACUCGCGGCUUAUCAGCUUGUUGGUGGGGUAGUGGCUGACCAAGGCUUUGACGGGUAGCCGGCCUGAGAGGGUGACCGGCCACCUUGGGACUGAGAUACGGCCCAGACUCCUAUGGGAGGCAGCAGUGGGGAAUAUUGCACAAUGGGCGGAAGUCUGAUGCAGCAACGCCGCGUGCGGGAUGACGGCCUUCGGGUUGUAAACCGCUUUCGCCUGUGACGAAGCGUGAGUGACGGUAAUGGGUAAAGAAGCACCGGCUAACUACGUG
RNAcentral lists this ribosomal RNA (468 nucleotides) under uncultured bacterium. RNAcentral's name for it is "partial 16S ribosomal RNA". It matches the Rfam family "Bacterial small subunit ribosomal RNA", at positions 28 to 507 of the family's 1533-position model. The record is from RNAcentral.